GCCCGGGUGGCGAAAUCGGUAGACGCAGGGGACUCAAAAUCCCCCGCCGCAAGGCGUGCCGGUUCGAGUCCGGCCCCGGGCACCA
Molecule: transfer RNA, 85 nt
Filed under: Rubrivivax sp.
Lineage: Bacteria; Pseudomonadati; Pseudomonadota; Betaproteobacteria; Burkholderiales; Sphaerotilaceae
Also listed under: 10 other names
Description: tRNA-Leu
Rfam family: tRNA
About the family: Transfer RNA (tRNA) molecules are approximately 80 nucleotides in length. Their secondary structure includes four short double-helical elements and three loops (D, anti-codon, and T loops).
Source: RNAcentral